AUUGAACGCUGGCGGCAGGCCUAACACAUGCAAGUCGAACGAGUGGCGGACGGGUGAGUAAUGUCUGGGAAACUGCCUGAUGGAGGGGGAUAACUACUGGAAACGGUAGCUAAUACCGCAUACCAUCAGAUGUGCCCAGAUGGGAUUAGCUAGUUGGUGGGGUAACGGCUCACCAAGGCGACGAUCCCUCGCUGGUCUGAGAGGGUGAACGGCCACACUGGAACUGAGACACGGUCCAGACUCCUACGGGAGGCAGCAGUAGGGAAUAUUGCACAAUGGGCGCAAGCCUGAUGCAGCAAUGCCGCGUGUAUGAAGAAGGCCUUCGGGUUGUAAAAUACUUUCAGCGGGGAAGCGUUACCCAAAGAAAAAGCACCGGCUAACUCCGUGCCAGCAGCCGCGGUAAUAC
Molecule: ribosomal RNA, 406 nt
Filed under: uncultured bacterium
Lineage: Bacteria
Description: partial 16S ribosomal RNA
Rfam family: Bacterial small subunit ribosomal RNA
Source: RNAcentral